GGACACAAGACAGUCCAGACAGGACUUCACCGCUUUGAGUUUUCUCCCUGUGCAGACAUCACAAUCCACAUCUUCAGGUCCAGCAAAAUAGGCCUAUUACAACAGGAGCAGGAGCAACAGUUUGAAUUCUAGUAUUCCGUAUCUGCCUUACAAGUUCAGCAAAAAUAUUAUU
Long non-coding RNA from Alosa sapidissima (American shad), 172 nucleotides. RefSeq lists it as uncharacterized. The transcript has 2 exons. The record is from RefSeq and is a predicted model, not a curated record. Lineage: Eukaryota; Metazoa; Chordata; Actinopteri; Clupeiformes; Clupeidae.